Small nuclear RNA from Pongo abelii (Sumatran orangutan), 128 nucleotides. Its record names the gene U2. It matches the Rfam family "U2 spliceosomal RNA". Rfam says of the family: U2 is a small nuclear RNA (snRNA) component of the spliceosome (involved in pre-mRNA splicing). Complementary binding between U2 snRNA (in an area lying towards the 5' end but 3' to hairpin I) and the branchpoint sequence (BPS) of the intron results the bulging out of an unpaired adenosine, on the BPS, which initiates a nucleophilic attack at the intronic 5' splice site, thus starting the first of two transesterification reactions that mediate splicing. Lineage: Eukaryota; Metazoa; Chordata; Mammalia; Primates; Hominidae. The record is from Ensembl.
AUCGCUUCUUGGCCUUUUGGCUAAGAUCAAGUGUAGGAAAGCAAUUGAUAAUAUUUAUGAAGGUUCUAGAAAGGUUUAUACCUUUCAUCUUAGUGAUUCAAUUUCUUGGAAUCUAGCUAAUGAUAUAA